Molecule: ribosomal RNA, 396 nt
Filed under: uncultured bacterium
Lineage: Bacteria
Description: partial 16S ribosomal RNA
Rfam family: Bacterial small subunit ribosomal RNA
Source: RNAcentral
AUACGUAGGAUGCAAGCGUUAUCCGGAUUUACUGGGUGUAAAGGGAGCGCAGGCGGGACUGCAAGUUGGAUGUGAAAUACCGUGGCUUAACCACGGAACUGCAUCCAAAACUGUAGUUCUUGAGUGAAGUAGAGGCAAGCGGAAUUCCGAGUGUAGCGGUGAAAUGCGUAGAUAUUCGGAGGAACACCAGUGGCGAAGGCGGCUUGCUGGGCUAUAACUGACGCUGAGGCUCGAAAGGGUGGGGAGCAAACAGGAUUAGAUACCCUGGUAGUCCACACUGUAAACGAUGAUAGCUAGGUGUGGGGGGUCUGACCCCUUCCGUGCCGGAGUUAACGCAAUAAGCUAUCCACCUGGGGAGUUCGACCGCAAGGUUGAAACUCAAAGGAAUUGACGGGG